RNAcentral lists this ribozyme (178 nucleotides) under Anopheles gambiae (African malaria mosquito). RNAcentral's name for it is "drz-agam-2-2 ribozyme". It matches the Rfam family "drz-agam-2-2 ribozyme". Lineage: Eukaryota; Metazoa; Arthropoda; Insecta; Diptera; Culicidae. The record is from Rfam by way of RNAcentral.
GCUAUGUUGCUCUGUAAUGGGAUGGGAUUCGAAGCCCUCCGAGGGAUAACACAGGCUCUCCCAUCCAACUCCUAUUCCGACACGUCCUCGUCGUGCAGAGUGGUAACAUGUGCCUGAACGUCGGGGGGGGGGGGGGGGGGCAACCCGACGCUAAAUAAAACGGCCACGUGGGCGCAGG